Molecule: ribosomal RNA, 495 nt
Filed under: uncultured bacterium
Lineage: Bacteria
Description: partial 16S ribosomal RNA
Rfam family: Bacterial small subunit ribosomal RNA
Source: RNAcentral
GACGAACGCUGGCGGCGUGCCUAAUACAUGCAAGUAGAACGCUGAAGGAGGAGCUUGCUCUUCUGGAUGAGUUGCGAACGGGUGAGUAACGCGUAGGUAACCUGCCUGGUAGCGGGGGAUAACUAUUGGAAACGAUAGCUAAUACCGCAUAACAGUAGAUGUUGCAUGACAUUUACUUAAAAGGUGCAAUUGCAUCACUACCAGAUGGACCUGCGUUGUAUUAGCUAGUUGGUGGGGUAACGGCUCACCAAGGCGACGAUACAUAGCCGACCUGAGAGGGUGAUCGGCCACACUGGGGCUGAGACACGGCCCAGACUCCUACGGGAGGCAGCAGUAGGGAAUCUUCGGCAAUGGACGGAAGUCUGACCGAGCAACGCCGCGUGAGUGAAGAAGGUUUUCGGAUCGUAAAGCUCUGUUGUAAGAGAAGAACGAGUGUGAGAGUGGAAAGUUCACACUGUGACGGUAUCUUACCAGAAAGGGACGGCUAACUACGUG